This 2926-nucleotide ribosomal RNA is filed under the name Staphylococcus pasteuri. RNAcentral's name for it is "bacterial LSU rRNA". It matches the Rfam family "Bacterial large subunit ribosomal RNA". Lineage: Bacteria; Bacillati; Bacillota; Bacilli; Caryophanales; Staphylococcaceae. The record is from RNAcentral.
AGAUUAAGUUAUUAAGGGCGCACGGUGGAUGCCUUGGCACUAGAAGCCGAAGAAGGACGUUACUAACGACGAUAUGCUUUGGGGAGCUGUAAGUAAGCGUUGAUCCAGAGAUUUCCGAAUGGGGAAACCCAACAUGAGUUAUGUCAUGUUAUCGAUAUGUGAAUACAUAGCAUAUCAGAAGGCAGACCCGGAGAACUGAAACAUCUUAGUACCCGGAGGAAGAGAAAGAAAAAUCGAUUCCCUGAGUAGCGGCGAGCGAAACGGGAAGAGCCCAAACCAACAAGCUUGCUUGUUGGGGUUGUAGGACACUCUAUACGGAGUUACAAAAGUAUAUAUUAGACGAAUCAUCUGGAAAGUUGAAUCAAAGAAGGUAAUAAUCCUGUAGUCGAAAAUAUAUACUCUCUUGAGUGGAUCCUGAGUACGACGGAGCACGUGAAAUUCCGUCGGAAUCUGGGAGGACCAUCUCCUAAGGCUAAAUACUCUCUAGUGACCGAUAGUGAACCAGUACCGUGAGGGAAAGGUGAAAAGUACCCCGGAAGGGGAGUGAAAGAGAACUUGAAACCGUGUGCUUACAAGUAGUCAGAGCCCGUUAAUGGGUGAUGGCGUGCCUUUUGUAGAAUGAACCGGCGAGUUACGAUUUGAUGCAAGGUUAAGCAGUGAAUGUGGAGCCGUAGCGAAAGCGAGUCUGAAUAGGGCGUUGAGUAUUUGGUCGUAGACCCGAAACCAGGUGAUCUACUCUUGGUCAGGUUGAAGUUCAGGUAACACUGAAUGGAGGACCGAACCGACUUACGUUGAAAAGUGAGCGGAUGAACUGAGGGUAGCGGAGAAAUUCCAAUCGAACCUGGAGAUAGCUGGUUCUCUCCGAAAUAGCUUUAGGGCUAGCCUCAAGUGAUGAUUAUUGGAGGUAGAGCACUGUUUGGACGAGGGGCCCUUCUCGGGUUACCGAAUUCAGACAAACUCCGAAUGCCAAUCAAUUUAACUUGGGAGUCAGAACAUGGGUGAUAAGGUCCGUGUUCGAAAGGGAAACAGCCCAGACCACCAGCUAAGGUCCCAAAAUAUAUGUUAAGUGGAAAAGGAUGUGGCGUUGCCCAGACAACUAGGAUGUUGGCUUAGAAGCAGCCAUCAUUUAAAGAGUGCGUAAUAGCUCACUAGUCGAGUGACACUGCGCCGAAAAUGUACCGGGGCUAAACAUAUUACCGAAGCUGUGGAUUGUCCGUAGGAUAAUGGUAGGAGAGCGUUCUAAGGGCGUUGAAGCAUGAUCGCAAGGACAUGUGGAGCGCUUAGAAGUGAGAAUGCCGGUGUGAGUAGCGAAAGACGGGUGAGAAUCCCGUCCACCGAUUGACUAAGGUUUCCAGAGGAAGGCUCGUCCGCUCUGGGUUAGUCGGGUCCUAAGCUGAGGCCGACAGGCGUAGGCGAUGGAUAACAGGUUGAUAUUCCUGUACCACCUAGUAUCGUUUUAAUCGAUGGGGGGACGCAGUAGGAUAGGCGAAGCGUGCUAUUGGAUUGCACGUCCAAGCAGUAAGACUGAGUGUUAGGCAAAUCCGGCACUCGUAAGGUCAAGCUGUGAUGGGGAGAGGAAAUUGUUUCCUCGAGUCGUUGAUUUCACACUGCCAAGAAAAGCCUCUAGAUAGAUAACAGGUGCCCGUACCGCAAACCGACACAGGUAGUCAAGAUGAGAAUUCUAAGGUGAGCGAGCGAACUCUCGUUAAGGAACUCGGCAAAAUGACCCCGUAACUUCGGGAGAAGGGGUGCUCUUUAGGGUUAACGCCCAGAAGAGCCGCAGUGAAUAGGCCCAAGCGACUGUUUAUCAAAAACACAGGUCUCUGCUAAACCGUAAGGUGAUGUAUAGGGGCUGACGCCUGCCCGGUGCUGGAAGGUUAAGAGGAGUAGUUAGCUUCUGCGAAGCUACGAAUCGAAGCCCCAGUAAACGGCGGCCGUAACUAUAACGGUCCUAAGGUAGCGAAAUUCCUUGUCGGGUAAGUUCCGACCCGCACGAAAGGCGUAACGAUUUGGGCACUGUCUCAACGAGAGACUCGGUGAAAUCAUAGUACCUGUGAAGAUGCAGGUUACCCGCGACAGGACGGAAAGACCCCGUGGAGCUUUACUGUAGCCUGAUAUUGAAAUUCGGCACAGCUUGUACAGGAUAGGUAGGAGCCUUUGAAACGUGAGCGCUAGCUUACGUGGAGGCAUUGGUGGGAUACUACCCUAGCUGUGUUGGCUUUCUAACCCGCACCACUUAUCGUGGUGGGAGACAGUGUCAGGUGGGCAGUUUGACUGGGGCGGUCGCCUCCUAAAAGGUAACGGAGGCGCUCAAAGGUUCCCUCAGAAUGGUUGGAAAUCAUUCAUAGAGUGUAAAGGCAUAAGGGAGCUUGACUGCGAGACUUACAAGUCGAGCAGGGUCGAAAGACGGACUUAGUGAUCCGGUGGUUCCGCAUGGAAGGGCCAUCGCUCAACGGAUAAAAGCUACCCCGGGGAUAACAGGCUUAUCUCCCCCAAGAGUUCACAUCGACGGGGAGGUUUGGCACCUCGAUGUCGGCUCAUCGCAUCCUGGGGCUGUAGUCGGUCCCAAGGGUUGGGCUGUUCGCCCAUUAAAGCGGUACGCGAGCUGGGUUCAGAACGUCGUGAGACAGUUCGGUCCCUAUCCGUCGUGGGCGUAGGAAAUUUGAGAGGAGCUGUCCUUAGUACGAGAGGACCGGGAUGGACAUACCUCUGGUGUACCAGUUGUCGUGCCAACGGCAUAGCUGGGUAGCUAUGUAUGGACGGGAUAAGUGCUGAAAGCAUCUAAGCAUGAAGCCCCCCUCAAGAUGAGAUUUCCCAACUUCGGUUAUAAGAUCCCUCAAAGAUGAUGAGGUUAAUAGGUUCGAGGUGGAAGCGUGGUGACACGUGGAGCUGACGAAUACUAAUCGAUCGAAGACUUAAUCAAUUU